UGGGGGAUAUUGCACAAUGGGCGAAAGCCUGAUGCAGCGACGCCGCGUGGGGGAUGAAGGCCUUCGGGUUGUAAACUUCUUUUGCUCUGAACAAGGCAUGCUUUUGGGGUGUGUUGAGUGUAGGGGUUGAUUAGCGUCGGCUAACUACGUGCCAGCAGCCGCGGUAAUACGUAGGGCGCGAGCGUUGUCCGGAAUUAUUGGGCGUAAAGGGCUUGUAGGUGGCUGGUUGCGUCUGUCGUGAAAGCUCAUGGCUUAACUGUGGGUUUGCGGUGGGUACGGGCUGGCUUGAGUGCAGUAGGGGAGGCUGGAAUUCCUGGUGUAGCGGUGGAAUGCGCAGAUAUCAGGAGGAAUACCGGUGGCGAAGGCGGGUCUCUGGGCUGUUACUGACGCUGAGGAGCGAAAGCGUGGGGAGCGAACAGG
Molecule: ribosomal RNA, 420 nt
Filed under: Fusobacteriota bacterium
Lineage: Bacteria; Fusobacteriati; Fusobacteriota
Description: Fusobacteria bacterium partial 16S ribosomal RNA
Rfam family: Bacterial small subunit ribosomal RNA
Source: RNAcentral